Non-coding RNA from Ciona savignyi (Pacific transparent sea squirt), 73 nucleotides. The record is from Rfam. NCBI's taxonomy places the organism in Eukaryota, Metazoa, Chordata, Ascidiacea, Phlebobranchia, Cionidae.
GCCUCGAUUGCGCAGUAGGCAGCGCGUGAGUCUCAUAAUCUCAAGGUCGUGAGUUCGAUCCUCACUCGGGGCA